CCGGUCUGAUUUACCAGUAGAGAUUCUAUGCGAAAAAACAUUAAGUUGAAUAAACUCUGCAUGAUGGCUUAGAUGAAAUGCCAGAAAGAUAUUACUGCACAAAGCAUGAUCAGGUUCUGUAAAGGCUUGGUUUUAUAAGCAACAUAUACAGCUCCAUAAAACAAUGUCAACUCAGACUCUCAACACAGAGUAACCAACGAUUAGAGCUGGAAAAUUGUCAAUGUAUGAGAAAGGGUGACUGGGUUAUAAGCAACAGAAGGCCAUUCAAUAGCUAAUGGCCUGGCCAAAAAAGGGCCACAAACCAUAUGACUAGGCAGUGCAAAGGACCAGUUCGCAGCACUUCCAACUCUAGGCAUGUUGGACUC
RNAcentral lists this long non-coding RNA (365 nucleotides) under Eucalyptus grandis. RNAcentral describes it as "long non-coding RNA (EGRA_LNC007918)". The record is from RNAcentral. Lineage: Eukaryota; Viridiplantae; Streptophyta; Magnoliopsida; Myrtales; Myrtaceae.